RNAcentral lists this ribosomal RNA (254 nucleotides) under Escherichia coli. Its description in RNAcentral is "partial 23S ribosomal RNA". It matches the Rfam family "Bacterial large subunit ribosomal RNA", at positions 10 to 264 of the family's 2925-position model. Lineage: Bacteria; Pseudomonadati; Pseudomonadota; Gammaproteobacteria; Enterobacterales; Enterobacteriaceae. The record is from RNAcentral.
ACUAAGCGUACACGGUGGAUGCCCUGGCAGUCAGAGGCGAUGAAGGACGUGCUAAUCUGCGAUAAGCGUCGGUAAGGUGAUAUGAACCGUUAUAACCGGCGAUUUCCGAAUGGGGAAACCCAGUGUGAUUCGUCACACUAUCAUUAACUGAAUCCAUAGGUUAAUGAGGCGAACCGGGGGAACUGAAACAUCUAAGUACCCCGAGGAAAAGAAAUCAACCGAGAUUCCCCCAGUAGCGGCGAGCGAACGGGGAG